CAAGAAUUGUUCAAGAAAUUAAUAACUUAAAAAUACAUAUUCUCAAGAAUUGAUAACUAGAGACAUAUGUAAUUAAUUUUUAAAUUACUUUUGAUCGAUGGAUCAUUAUGGAGAUGGUGAUCGAUCCGAUUAAAUUAGUACGUGGAUCAUUUCUUUCAGGAUAGACGAGUUUUUAGUCUACAAUAUAGGGAUACUAAGCGAG
RNAcentral lists this long non-coding RNA (202 nucleotides) under Elaeis guineensis (African oil palm). Its description in RNAcentral is "long non-coding RNA (EGUI_LNC014149)". The record is from RNAcentral. Lineage: Eukaryota; Viridiplantae; Streptophyta; Magnoliopsida; Arecales; Arecaceae.